Apodemus sylvaticus (European woodmouse) is the source of this 1448-nucleotide long non-coding RNA. RefSeq lists it as uncharacterized. The transcript is spliced from 3 exons. Lineage: Eukaryota; Metazoa; Chordata; Mammalia; Rodentia; Muridae. The record is from RefSeq and is a predicted model, not a curated record.
GCCUGUCACGUGUUCCUGUGACCAUGGGGCUAAGCGGCCAUAAGCGGCCACUCCAAAACUGUGAGCUUCCUCCCUUUAAGCCGUCCAAGUUCCAUAUUAGUCCCAGCAGCUGUAAAAGCAACUAAUCUACUAUUGGUGUGGACGACAGAACAGGAAGAUGAUGGUGGUGUGGUGGUGAUGCUGUGCUAUCAGCUGGGAAGGCUUGGGUAGGGAUGGUCUGUGCUGCUGGCAUAUAGCACGCGUCUACAUGGACGUGGCAAGAAGCAGAGUGACCAGUGAAUGCAGGUGCAGCAGCAGCAGCAGCAGCAGCAGCAGCAGCAGCAGGAGCAGCAGCACUUCCUGCUCCGAGCCCCCAUCCAGGAGCAAAUCUCAAACACCACAGAGAACCCGCACACCCUGCCUAGGACCUAACCAACGUGCACACAGCCUCGGUGGCUGCUUUGGCCUUAUUGGCUGUCAAAGGGCUUCUGUCUUCCAUGGUGUGAUUUUCAGACAGGAGGAAUUCCUUCUUAGACAGUUUAAGGAGCCCGGAUCUCAGAAAAGGCUUCUAAUAGGAAACAGCUCAACCCUUCAGAAGAUCAUUGCUUCUCUAUAAACCUAGUUGUAUCACAUAGGUCUCAUCAUUAAUGCGAUGUUUACUUUGUAUCCGGGAGACGGCUGUAGGUUACAAGAAUGCAUUACAAAGCGACAGUAGUGUGACAAACUAGAGAAGGCUGUGGGUUCUGCAGCUAGGCUGUCUGUACAAUCCUGGCUCUUCCUUCUCUGCCUCCUCUUAGCUCUGUCUUCUUCCUUCCAGCUGUAGGACCGACAUAGCCUUUCUGAAACCAAAGCUCUCCCCCAUCAGGGAUAAACGUGCCUCACAGGGUUACUGUGAAUAUUUAAACAUUAAGGAUUUACUGUGCUUGGUUUGUCUUGGCAUGAUGCAAACGAUCACAAUAAUCACUUUUAUUAUUAUUUUUUCCCAUGGGCAGUAGUCAGCCAUUGGCCUAAUAGCCUGCUGGAGAAAUGACACCAUUAAUGCCUUAGCAGGGCUCAAAGCAGAGGCCAGCGGGAGCCACAAGAGCCUGCUAAGCAGGACCUGUACCGUACGGAACCCCAUGCACAGACUUCACUGCCCAGAAACCUGUCACCCAGUCUUAAAGCGCCCUGCCAUCCUGGGGGACUUUGACAUCCCUACCAUAUGAGUGGUUGCCACAGGAACCACUGUGCCCAGGGUUUCCUUUCGCUGGCAAGGGUGGAGACAAUCAAACCUGGCUUCGGGGCUGGAGAGAUGGCUCAGCGGGUUAAGAGCACCGACUGCUCUUCCAAAGGUCAUGAGUUCAAAUCCCAGCACCCACAUGGUGGCUCACAACCAUCCGUAAAGAGAUCUGACGUCCUCUUCUGGUGUCUGAAGACAGCUACAGUGUACUUACAUAUGAUAAAUAAAUAAAUAUCUUAAAAAAAAAAGA